Cavia porcellus (domestic guinea pig) is the source of this 418-nucleotide long non-coding RNA. RefSeq lists it as uncharacterized. The record is from RefSeq and is a predicted model, not a curated record. The transcript is spliced from 3 exons. NCBI's taxonomy places the organism in Eukaryota, Metazoa, Chordata, Mammalia, Rodentia, Caviidae.
AACCCGCCUCCUAGCGCUAGUGUAGCCAAUCGGAACGUGGGACCGGGGAACCGCUUUUGGCACAUGGGUAUUACGUCAUCUCUGUCCGGAAGUGUUCUUAUCCCAAAGCAGCUCGACCAGCUACAAGUGUCUAGCCCCUAGGUUCCGCUAAUUUCUAGGUUGCUGACCGAUUUCUGUUCAGAUCGCAAAGGGUGUAUUUGGAUCACAAGAAAAUAUUUUGCGCCCCUUGGCGGGCAACUGUGGAGUUGUGAUCAACCGGUGAACUUCCUAGUUCGCUUUUAGGACCUCUGUUUCAAUCUUCAGAUUAUGUAUUCUUCCCUGAAGUACGAGUAGCUACGAGAAGAUUUUAGGACAUAUAUCAAGAUAUAUCUUUGUAAGCUGAAAUUAUCUGCACCUAUUUUGAAGACAACAAAAGGCA